UACGUAGGGGGCAAGCGUUGUCCGGAAUCACUGGGCGUAAAGCGCACGUAGGCGGAUUGCUAAGUCAGGGGUGAAAUCCUGGAGCUCAACUCCAGAACUGCCUUUGAUACUGGCGACCUUGAGUCCGGGAGAGGUGAGUGGAACUGCGAGUGUAGAGGUGAAAUUCGUAGAUAUUCGCAAGAACACCAGUGGCGAAGGCGGCUCACUGGCCCGGUACUGACGCUGAGGUGCGAAAGCGUGGGGAGCAAACAGG
RNAcentral lists this ribosomal RNA (253 nucleotides) under uncultured bacterium. RNAcentral's name for it is "partial 16S ribosomal RNA". It matches the Rfam family "Bacterial small subunit ribosomal RNA", at positions 524 to 776 of the family's 1533-position model. The record is from RNAcentral.